AAAUGCCUCUAUCCUUUUUUACUAAUAUUUUUAUGUUCAGAAAUUUUCAACCAAUCAUUUCAAAUAAUUAACUAAGUAAUAAUUUAUACCCAAAUAAAGAUAAAUAUUUUUUUUCUCAUGCGUAAUAUCCGCACCGGCCAAUUCUUUCGCAACGUAAUAUCCGCAAAUUUUUCAAAUAUCUCAACAUAAUUAUAGGUGACUUUGAAAUAAAAUUUCCUUCAUUGUAGGUAAUUUUUAAUAAUAUAGUAAAA
Molecule: long non-coding RNA, 251 nt
Filed under: Ananas comosus (pineapple)
Lineage: Eukaryota; Viridiplantae; Streptophyta; Magnoliopsida; Poales; Bromeliaceae
Description: long non-coding RNA (ACOM_LNC000674)
Source: RNAcentral